Molecule: ribosomal RNA, 406 nt
Filed under: uncultured bacterium
Lineage: Bacteria
Description: bacterial SSU rRNA
Rfam family: Bacterial small subunit ribosomal RNA
Source: RNAcentral
CGAACGAAUUACCUUCGGGUAGUUAGUGGCGCACGGGUGCGUAACGCGUGGGAAUCUGCCCCUUGGUUCGGAAUAACAGUUGGAAACGACUGCUAAUACCGGAUGAUGACGUAAGUCCAAAGAUUUAUCGCCGAGGGAUGAGCCCGCGUAGGAUUAGGUAGUUGGUGUGGUAAAGGCGCACCAAGCCGACGAUCCUUAGCUGGUCUGAGAGGAUGAUCAGCCACACUGGGACUGAGACACGGCCCAGACUCCUACGGGAGGCAGCAGUGGGGAAUAUUGGACAAUGGGUGAAAGCCUGAUCCAGCAAUGCCGCGUGAGUGAUGAAGGCCUUAGGGUUGUAAAGCUCUUUUACCCGGGAUGAUAAUGACAGUACCGGGAGAAUAAGCUCCGGCUAACUCCGUGCCAG